CUUCCGCCCGGCCGGACCGGCGCACGGUCGGAGGUAACACGUAUGCAACCUGCCCCUGUCAGGGGGACAACCCGCCGAAAGGCGGGCUAAACCCGCGUACAUGCCACCGGGGCAUCCCGGAGGCAGGAAAGGCUUCGGCCGGACAGGGAUGGGCAUGCGGCGCAUUAGGCAGUAGGCGGGGUAACGGCCCACCUAACCGACGAUGCGUAGGGGUUCUGAGAGGAAGGUCCCCCACACUGGUACUGAGACACGGACCAGACUCCUACGGGAGGCAGCAG
RNAcentral lists this ribosomal RNA (278 nucleotides) under uncultured bacterium. Its description in RNAcentral is "partial 16S ribosomal RNA". It matches the Rfam family "Bacterial small subunit ribosomal RNA", at positions 78 to 354 of the family's 1533-position model. The record is from RNAcentral.